Molecule: long non-coding RNA, 4632 nt
Filed under: Volvox carteri
Lineage: Eukaryota; Viridiplantae; Chlorophyta; Chlorophyceae; Chlamydomonadales; Volvocaceae
Description: long non-coding RNA (VCAR_LNC000017)
Source: RNAcentral
ACCCUGCAUGUAAGCACGCGCAGGACCGCGUGCGGUGACCACCCACCUCAGGCGCAGCACCAAAUUCUUUCAGGGCCGCCAUAGCCGAUGAGGUGUAGGUACCCGUGUCCUCAUCGGGGCUGUUGUGGUCGAUCGCAACGCGUGCACAGUAAUACACGAACCUCGGUGACAGCUCUAUGGGGAUGAUACGGUGGGUGCGCACCACGUAGUCCAUGGCCGCUGUGGAGGCGAAGGCCACACAGGCGCCCACGUCAUACUGGUUACGUUUCACGGGCCAGUUCUGGGCGAGGUCCUUGGAGGGAGGCAGCGGUUCGGUAGGUCCAGCAGCAAGCUUCAGCUUGGGAUACUCCGCCAGCUGAUGUUCCGGCUGGGGCUUGAAGUUAAGCUUGAACUGGCGGACUGACAUCUUGCUUGAUUAAUUGCUUGAAUGUAGCCUGUUCGUCUUUCUGUUGUCGUCGACAACAGCAGUUGAAGCGGUACAAGUUGUACUCAACGCAAUCAGGGCCUGGGAUUCAGAAGCAGAACACUUUGCUUAGGUUUAUGCUUUAACUUGCAGCUGCUUAUAUAUGGGGAGAGCGCCCGCCAAGCUGUCAGAAAUCGUACCUUUGCUGCCUGGCAUGAGCUCGAAGUUUCGUUUGUUAACUAACCCGUUUUGGAUGGCCGACCAGUUUUUGUCGUAUUUGACCUUCAGAGAGCCCAACGUACUCCGCAUCCUCUACGCAUGUAUGUAAAAAGUCAAAGUCAAUUCGGCGUUACUGCGCAGGCAAGUAGUAGCAUGUAGUAAUCGACAAGCGCACAACAGAAGUAAUACCAUGCACGGGACGGCAUGCGGCCUCAAAGGGAUCGCCGCCCACCUACCGCGCCGAUGUGUCGCUUUUACUUCCAGUUGGCUUCAUUCUUGCGUAAAGCACUUAACUUCAGUCCACUUACCCAGAAAUAUUUCCCGCUCUCUCCGCUUCCGUCGGUGUUCCUGCAAUUCGGCGGGCUUUUCGUUGGAACAUGGACACCUACAUGCAUGCGCAACUUCAUUAAUGCGUUUAUGUGUUUUAUGUAUACAUAUAUUUCUGUGUGAAACAUAAAUACUUCGGAAAUGCGAACAAAAGUGCUGCUAUUGACUGCAUAUGACGUAUGACAUUGUAUGAUCCUGUGCUAAGCGACCGGCGGAUCACUGCUCCGUCGCUCGGCUGUAUCCUGACGCGAUUAGUAUAUAAAUUACUACAAAAAAGAGCACGAAACUGAAUAAGCGGUUACGUGCUAUUGCAUUGAAUUACACAGGACAGAUAGGCUGCUAGCGGGCUGCGCUGGUUGGCUUAUUACGGCUUAUUUGCAAUCCUGUGACGAUAAUGCGUAUGUGUGUAGCAGGCCGCAAGGAAGGCAGCGGUAGUUGCUGUUAAACAGGUCUGCCUUGUUAAGGGAACUGGUGAGGGAACUGCAAGCAAUCGUUGUGUGAGUUUAUUUUGGAAUACAUUCAUUCCAAGAAAAAAAAGCUUGAUCCGCGGACCUACCUAGGUAUAUAUAGAUAUAUCUGGUGGAUACUAAAGCCGGCAAGCUAUAAAAUCUGAAUCGCAAAUGUGUGGACCUGAUAUAUGCAUUAGCCUUGACUGGCUUCAUUACAUUUUCAAAAAGUACAUAAAUUUAUUUCUCAUAUCGUGUAUGCGCCAUUGCUUUGGGCUGGGACAGAACGAUUCUGCUGCCUCCCUGUGCCGACUGUGCCGAGGUCAUUAAUUCGUAACAUUCCGACCUGAUUAAUGCAUUUCGUUGAAUGCGUUGCAUGCAUGCUGAAAAUAUAAUUUUUUUUCUAUCUGAAAAACCCUAAUUACACCACAACGGAUCCAUUUGAAACCAAGAUGUGUGUGUGGUGGUGUGUGGUGGUGUGUGGUGGUGUGUGGUGGUGUGUGGUGGUGUGUGGUUGUUACAGUGGGCUCCAGACUCAAGAAGAUGUGCACGGUGGCAACACCACCCACUCCUCAUUCACGCACGUCAGGAGGUCAGCAGUGCGUGGCUAUAGGGUUACCAGGCGACUUCUAUCUCCCGAUUCAUCCAUCCCAUACAAUUACUAUGAUCCAUCAGAUACUUCAGAGCCCAUCGAUUCAUGGAUUGGCGGUUCUGUUAGUCUGCAUUUAAGCGCAAGCAGAAGAUGACGCCGGCGCUGAUCUAAAUCCAUCCAGCCUAAUUUACGCUGAUCAGGUUCAGCUUCUGUCCGGUGGUGGGCAGAGCCGUGCCCCUGUUGUCCGCAGCCUGCACCCCGUCGGGGGUAUCGGUGUUGACCACGUUGAGCGAUUUGCCGUUGGCCAGCUUGAGCUGCGCAACCUUGAUGUACGCAGACGCCUCGGUGGGCAUAAAGCCCACGCCUUGCACACUCAGCUUGCCGCUCACAGUGAUCGACUGCUCCGUACGCUGUUCCAACGCUUGGGCAAUGUCCUUAGCCUGCUUGUCGUAGUUUGAAUUGGCGUUGCGCAUCUUCUCAACCUCCGUCUUGUCAUAUCCGGCAUUCAUGUGCACACCGAACCAGCUGAGGACAGGUACGUUGAAGCCACCAUCGUAGUGCUGCUUCGCUUCCUUGUAGGUGGAUUUCUCGUCCUCGCUCAUGUUUUCGAGCAGCUUGGAUUCCAUUUCCAAAAUGUGGGCACAGGUCACGGCCCGCAUAGUCAUCGUGAACGUCAACUCGGCCCAUGCACCCUUCUGGACUCUGAUACCCACAGAGAUGGUGUUUGUGUAACCGGUCUGGCAAUCCUUCACCACGCCCUGCACCUCCUCACUUGCGGUAAGGGAAAGAGACAACAGGCGCAGCUUCUGUCCGACAAUAGCCCCCAUGUAGUACUUGCUUGUCGACUGGCUGCACGUGUCGUUGCCGCCUCCGGCAGGUGCAACUGGCCGUGUGGGGUCGACCACCAAGCCCGAAUGCUUGCUAGGCACGCACACCUCUGUGGGGCGCAUAUGCAGAUGGUGUAAGAUUGUUAUAUCACGGCAUUUUCGGAAGGUUAUCUAACCCCUUUGGCUCCCCGAAGGGCGAAAGAUCCGAUCAUGGGAUGCAGAUCCCGUGACAAACCCAGGAUAUUACAGUUUCCCCCCUCUACAGAACGAUGUCCUAGAUCUUUUAUCUCUCAAGUUCCCUGUGGGAUGACAGCUUGCGCAGGAUCUAUAAUUGCCGCCUCCCGGGUGCUACCUCCUCCGGCAUAGAUACCGAACCGAUUUUUUUAUCCGAACGGUGGAUGCAAAUGUCUUUUUGAUACACCACCAGGAUAGUGCAAAGAUAGCGACAUGAGACCGCAGAGCAGCGGGCAUAUGCCACCAGCAGCCAUUUGGUGUAGUGCGUUUUUUUCAAUCCGCAACACGUAAUUCCUUAGCCACCGUUCAGGUAACCAAUUUGUGCACGAUCCGCGUGCGUUUGGAAGCGUUCAUGUCCUACAUGAGCUAGUUGUUUAGUUAAGAGUGUGUGUGUGUGUAUACGUUACUUCUCUGGCGUAUACAGUACUGAUAGUCAUCGCCAAACGGGCAGUGCAGGCAUUCUAUUACAACAGUGAUACUAAUCAUGGUACAGCUCCAUGCAUACUUACGCUUCUCCACCACAAGCCCGAGCUUCGCGGCCUCCUUACGCUUGAGCAACUCGACGGUUGCGCCAUUAUCUUCCACCACCGCAAUGGCCCAGCCGUCCGAGCGCUCGGCAAAGUCGUACGGCAGGUAGCCGUACCCUUCGUGCCCCCAGCUCGGGCCCCAGGAGUUGCGGAACUUGAAUAGCUUCUUGGCAUCAUCGUAGCCCACAAACAAGACGCAAUGGCCACCGAUGCGGUCACCCUUGGGCGUCUUAAUGACGCCAGUGGACUGUACAUCCUCGUCGUACAAAUUCUCGUAGCAUGUAAAUCCCGCAACGACGGGCAUGCCGGCGGCGAUGGCGACCUUCAUAGAGCGGAUAUCUGUGCCUACACGAAUGGCGCGAAGGACCUGGAUAUCAAGGCCCGCAAGGAAGGCGGCCUGCGAGGGCUCCUCGCUGUUCUGAACAUGGCCGCCACAAGUGCCGUACCGGCACAGCUCCUGCACACGGACACGGACACGGGUACACAAACACCCGUUGCUGCACCGAUAUGACCUCUCUAAUAUACUUGAAUGAAGGCAAUGCCUUUGCGUGCCUGACAACUAGUGGUUUAGAGCUAGCUUAUUAUGCAUACCACCAAAAAGGACUGAGCCAAGCAAAAGUAUUAUCCAGUAGCAGUGAUUUUAUUUGGAUAUGCACACACAUUGGUUAUUAUUUAUGCCGACCCGCGCAUAGUUGCAUGUAAAUGGGCAACAAGCACACAUAACCCUGCAUGCAAGCACGUGCAGGACUUAGUGCGAUGACCACCCACCUCAGGCGCAGCACCAAAUUUUUUCAGGGCCGCCAUAGCCGAUGAGGUGUAGGUACCCGUGUCCUCAUCGGGGGUGUUGUGGUCGAUCGCAACGCGUGCACAGUAAUACACGAACCUCGGUGACAGCUCUAUGGGGAUGAUACGGUGGGUGCGCACCACGUACUCCAUGGCCGCUGUGGAGGCGAAGGCCACACAGGCGCCCACGUCAUACUGGUUACGUUUCACGGGCCAGUCCUGGGCGAGGUCCUUGGAGGGAGGCAGCAGUGUCUCCGAGGGCAGGUCCGCAGUG